This 688-nucleotide unclassified non-coding RNA is filed under the name Hevea brasiliensis (rubber tree). The record is from RNAcentral. Lineage: Eukaryota; Viridiplantae; Streptophyta; Magnoliopsida; Malpighiales; Euphorbiaceae.
GACAAUAAGAAAAAUCAAUCAGUUAGAAAAUUUUAACGUCCUCGUGAUGAAAUCUAUGAAUUCAUCCAAUACUGGAUAUAGCUCUACAAAUCCCUAACAAUGAAAUCAUACUCCAAAUCCCUUCUAAAACUGAUGCUUUGCCACGCAUGCAUAGACUUCAAAUUGUUAUUAUAAUAGUAAAAUUACAUCCUCAGGUGAGCAUGAAGGGAACAGAGUGUAUGCUGAAGUUGGGACACUACCAAAGAUGAGGACUCCCAGGAUCUCUGGAAUCAUAGUGGCUAAACUAAUUAUGUGACAGGCUCAUCAAAGCAAUUAAGCAAUUCAUUGGUAUCAGAUGACCCUUACAAUUUUGCAUUAAACUUCAUGUUUCCAAGAUCCUAGCCACCGAUUAUACAUGUGUUUCAAACAUUUCAAUUAAUACUACUCUUUCCAAAAAUAUAAAAAAAAAAUAUGCAUCCUCCCAAGCAGGUCGGCUACACUGAUCCAAUCCAAUAUGUGCUAUGGAGAUGGAGAGGCAGCCAAUUUACUAUUACCAUUAAAUUUUGGAUAAGUUAUUUGAAAAAAUAGAAAAUUGCAGCUAUGGCCCAGCUCCCAGUUGGUCAACUAAUUACAUGAUGUGCAAAUUGUAUGAGAUUUUAUCUAAUAUGCUAAUAUAACUUCCACAUAUUUUCCCAGCGGCCAAGAGCAU